ACCAAAAUUUUCUCCCUUUUCCCCUUUAUUCAUUUCCCCAUUUUCAGCCUCCCCUCAUCUUCCAUGAUCCCAUCCCCUUCAUAUUCUUCCUUCACCCUUCAAAUCAAAUGCCCAUUUAAUUGAGAUACCUUCAACCAUUAAUUAAAUUCACUUCUCAAUCCAUCUACCCUCUAACCGUUUUCAGCAAAUAAAGUGACAUUGAAACCAUGAAUUGAUUCAUACAAGGCGGAGUUGCGGUGGAGAUGAAGGUUGUUAGGAGGAGAGAGCCGUCUAAAGCGAUUACUAUGGGGAAAAGUGGGUCUGGUCAGCAGAGUUAUGGCAUUGGGGUUUUGACGAGGUUGCUGAGGUCUAAAGUUUCCGCCACCACCAUCGCAACUGGUGUUGGAGAUGGAUGUCUGAAUUUUGCAGAGCAUUGGAAUAGUGUCACUGCCUUGAGCCUUUGUGGGUGUGGCAUCACUGACAGAUCAUAUGGUUUUUACUGGCAACCAGAAUGGUCUGAAGGAAAGGGAAGUUUGGUUGUCAGGUAUGAAUAAUACAGCUGACACUCUUCUGGUAGAUGGUGCUUGGAAGAAGAAUAAGAAAACAGGAAAUGUUAGGACAACUGUUGGAUGGGUUCCCACAAUGCCUUGCAGUCUUAAUUAAGCUCUUGCUGUAUUGAAGGGUCUAAAACAUGCUAAGCAAAGAAGAAUUACAAAUAUUGUGUUAGGAGUUGAAGAAUGGAAGAGAUCAAAGCUCCAUGGUACUUAUUUGGAUUACACAACAACAGACAAUGGAAUCUAGAAUGAGCCGUCUCAAUGAAUUGAAGACAGAGAUGCUGACGCAAUUUGGAAGAUUUUUGUAUACUUUAAAAUUUCAUUGCAAAAGCAUACUUAUACUUUUGCGGCAUCUAGGUUAUAGAGAAAUGUGUAUACUAAACUAUUAAUGGUAGUGGGCUUUAGCCCACCCAAAUGCUUAAUAAAUACUCCGUAUUUUUUGGGGGUAAACAAAAUACAUGUAUUGGAAAAAUAUGAUCCACAUGCCUAUGAAGUAUUUACAUGAAGUACAUUCUUAUAAAUAGUCCG
Spinacia oleracea (spinach) is the source of this 1061-nucleotide long non-coding RNA. RefSeq lists it as uncharacterized. The transcript is spliced from 4 exons. The record is from RefSeq and is a predicted model, not a curated record. Lineage: Eukaryota; Viridiplantae; Streptophyta; Magnoliopsida; Caryophyllales; Amaranthaceae.